Molecule: ribosomal RNA, 232 nt
Filed under: uncultured bacterium
Lineage: Bacteria
Description: partial 16S ribosomal RNA
Rfam family: Bacterial small subunit ribosomal RNA
Source: RNAcentral
UCGGAUUGACUGGGCGUAAAGCGUGUGUAGGUGGUUUGACAAGUUGGUUGUGAAAUCCCCGGGCUCAACCUGGGAACUGCUGCCAAGACUGUCAGACUAGAGUACGGUAGAGGGCGGUGGAAUUUCCGGUGUAGCGGUGAAAUGCGUAGAUAUCGGAAGGAACACCAAUGGCGAAGGCAGCCGCCUGGGCCUGUACUGACACUGAGACACGAAAGCGUGGGGAUCAAACAGG